Non-coding RNA from Gossypium arboreum, 153 nucleotides. Lineage: Eukaryota; Viridiplantae; Streptophyta; Magnoliopsida; Malvales; Malvaceae. The record is from Rfam.
UGUUAAAAAUUUCAUCCAUUUGUGUUGUUAAAAACUGAUGUGACUGUGUAACUAAUAGAAUAAUCAAAUAAUGACAUGUGUGUUGCCACGUAUACCUCAUGCUAACAUACAAUGACCGAUUUUUAACAGUAGAAAUAGAUAUAAUUUUUAACU